GACGAACGCUGGCGGCGUGCUUAACACAUGCAAGUCGAACGAAUGGAUUAAGAGCUUGCUCUUAUGAAGUUAGCGGCGGACGGGUGAGUAACACGUGGGUAAUCUGCCCAUAAGACUGGGAUAACUCCGGGAAACCGGGGCUAAUACCGGAUAACAUUUUGAACCGCAUGGUUCGAAAUUGAAAGGCGGCUUCGGCUGUCACUUAUGGAUGGACCCGCGUCGCAUUAGCUAGUUGGUGAGGUAACGGCUCACCAAGGCAACGAUGCGUAGCCGACCUGAGAGGGUGAUCGGCCACACUGGGACUGAGACACGGCCCAGACUCCUACGGGAGGCAGCAGUAGGGAAUCUUCCGCAAUGGACGAAAGUCUGACGGAGCAACGCCGCGUGAGUGAUGAAGGCUUUCGGGUCGUAAAACUCUGCUGUUAGGGAAGAACAAGUGCUAGUUGAAUAAGCUGGCACCUUGACGGUACCUAACCAGAAAGCCACGGCUAACUACGUGCCAGCAGCCGCCGCGG
This 515-nucleotide ribosomal RNA is filed under the name uncultured bacterium. RNAcentral's name for it is "partial 16S ribosomal RNA". It matches the Rfam family "Bacterial small subunit ribosomal RNA", at positions 28 to 523 of the family's 1533-position model. The record is from RNAcentral.